GGGAUUAUGGCUCAGUGGUAGAGCACUCAUCUAAUACAUGUGAAGCCCUGGGUUCAAUCCUCAGCACCA
This 69-nucleotide transfer RNA is filed under the name Marmota marmota marmota (Alpine marmot). It matches the Rfam family "tRNA". From Rfam's summary of the family: Transfer RNA (tRNA) molecules are approximately 80 nucleotides in length. Their secondary structure includes four short double-helical elements and three loops (D, anti-codon, and T loops). Further hydrogen bonds mediate the characteristic L-shaped molecular structure. tRNAs have two regions of fundamental functional importance: the anti-codon, which is responsible for specific mRNA codon recognition, and the 3' end, to which the tRNAs corresponding amino acid is attached (by aminoacyl-tRNA synthetases). tRNAs cope with the degeneracy of the genetic code in two manners: having more than one tRNA (with a specific anti-codon) for a particular amino acid; and 'wobble' base-pairing, i.e. permitting non-standard base-pairing at the 3rd anti-codon position. Lineage: Eukaryota; Metazoa; Chordata; Mammalia; Rodentia; Sciuridae. RNAcentral also lists the same sequence under 2 other names. The record is from Rfam by way of RNAcentral.